AGCGGCAAAAGCUCAAAUUUGAAAUCUAGUACCUUCGGUGCUCGAGUUGUAAUUUGAAGGUAGUUUUCUGGUGCUGGUCCUUGUCUAUGUUCCUUGGAACAGGACGUCAUAGAGGGUGAGAAUCCCGUCUGAUGGGGUGUCCAGUGCUUUGUAGAUUUCUACCGAAGAGUCGAGUUGUUUGGGAAUGCAGCUCUAAGUGGGUGGUAAAUUCCAUCUAAAGCUAAAUACUGGCGAGAGACCGAUAGCGAACAAGUACAGUGAUGGAAAGAUGAAAAGAACUUUGAAAAGAGAGUGAAAAAGUACGUGAAAUUGUUGAAAGGGAAGGGUAUUGGAUCAGACUUGGUGUCUUGUGAUUAUCUUCCCUUCUUGGGUUGUGCACUCGCAUUUCACUGGGCCAGCAUCGGUUCGGAUGGCAAGAUAAUGGCUUGGGAAUGUGGCACUCUUCGGAGUGUGUUAUAGCCCUUGUUGAUGUUGCCUAUCUGGACCGAGGACUGCGG
Molecule: ribosomal RNA, 497 nt
Filed under: Petasospora fabianii
Lineage: Eukaryota; Fungi; Ascomycota; Saccharomycetes; Phaffomycetales; Wickerhamomycetaceae
Description: eukaryotic LSU rRNA
Rfam family: Eukaryotic large subunit ribosomal RNA
Source: RNAcentral